Molecule: long non-coding RNA, 305 nt
Filed under: Salvia miltiorrhiza (redroot sage)
Lineage: Eukaryota; Viridiplantae; Streptophyta; Magnoliopsida; Lamiales; Lamiaceae
Description: long non-coding RNA (SMIL_LNC008502)
Source: RNAcentral
AAAAUUGAAUUGAGGUUUAGAUAAACAAACCAUCCCAAUUUUGAGUACAAGAGAAAGUAAAAUUCUGAAUCAAGAUGAAUACAAUUGAUUUCAAAUCCAUCAUAAAACAAACUUGAUAAUCCAAUUUUUUUUUGUAGAAUUUGUUACCGGCAAUUUUGGGCAGCAAUCGCUACUCCCAAUUACAGUAUCUCACAAAUCACAAUCAUCGCCUCUAUCUCGUCCCAACCUGCCUUUCCCUAGAUCUCUCUAGCUAUCUCAUCUCCUUGUCGUAGUUGCCACACCAUCGUCGGCGUCGCGCCAUCGCC